RNAcentral lists this ribosomal RNA (458 nucleotides) under uncultured bacterium. RNAcentral's name for it is "partial 16S ribosomal RNA". It matches the Rfam family "Bacterial small subunit ribosomal RNA", at positions 338 to 795 of the family's 1533-position model. The record is from RNAcentral.
CCUACGGGAGGCAGCAGUGAGGAAUAUUGGUCAAUGGGCGAGAGCCUGAACCAGCCAAGUCGCGUGAGGGAGUACUGCCCUAUGGGUUGUAAACCUCUUUUGUCGGGGAGCAAAAGCCGGACGUGUCCGGCUGUGAGAGUACCCGACGAAAAAGCAUCGGCUAAAUCCGUGCCAGCAGCCGCGUUAAUACGGAGGAUGCGAGCGGUAUCCGGAUUUAUUGGGUUUAAAUGGUGCGCAGGCGGAGUUUUAAGUCAGCGGUCAAAUCCGGGGGCUCAAACCCAUGCAGCCGUUGAAACUGGGGAUCUAGAUUGGGCGAGAGGUAUGCGGAAUGCGUGGUGGAGCGGUGAAAUGCAUAGAUAUCACGCAGAACCCCGAUUGCGAAGGCAGCAUACCGGUGCACAACUGACGCUCAGGCACGAAAGCGUGGGUAUCGAACAGGAUUAGAUACCCGGGUAGUC